UGCCAAGCAAGUCCUACCACUACCUUCUGGUGGUACUGGCCAGGAUACGAGCAACCUUAGGGAAGAGCGGCUGACGAACCCCUGUGGGAACUUUGGUCAUAUGCUGACAGGGAAGG
This 116-nucleotide ribozyme is filed under the name Aedes aegypti (yellow fever mosquito). RNAcentral's name for it is "drz-agam-1 ribozyme". It matches the Rfam family "drz-agam-1 ribozyme". The record is from Rfam by way of RNAcentral. Lineage: Eukaryota; Metazoa; Arthropoda; Insecta; Diptera; Culicidae.